GCCCUAGAUGCUAUUUUACCUAAGUUCUAGCCUUUUGUUUGGAUUUUUAUUUUAAUUAAUAUAAACUUUUUUACCUAAGUUCUAGCCUUUUGUUUGGAUUUUUAUUUUAAUUAAUAUAAACUUCAUGAAUUAUAUAGUCUAGAACUAGUGCACAAGAGCUCCGGUUUAAUUUUGAAAUAUAAACAUCAUCAAUCAUGUUUAAGCUCAAGUAUAUGCUCGAUAUUCUUUUAUUCAAAUCAACAAAUCAUCAAGAAAUUCUUGCAGUAAAGCUUGUAUCUAAAUCAGCUGAC
This 290-nucleotide long non-coding RNA is filed under the name Elaeis guineensis (African oil palm). RNAcentral describes it as "long non-coding RNA (EGUI_LNC023838)". The record is from RNAcentral. Lineage: Eukaryota; Viridiplantae; Streptophyta; Magnoliopsida; Arecales; Arecaceae.